Phyllostomus discolor (pale spear-nosed bat) is the source of this 2551-nucleotide long non-coding RNA. RefSeq lists it as uncharacterized. Lineage: Eukaryota; Metazoa; Chordata; Mammalia; Chiroptera; Phyllostomidae. The record is from RefSeq and is a predicted model, not a curated record. The transcript has 2 exons.
UCUUGAAAUCUACCUUAUAUCAAAUAUUUUUAUGUCACACAUUUAGAUGAAGUUCAUUACAUUGAGACAGCAGCUUUAUUACUGGUAUCCACAUUUAAUUCUAUGUUUACAAUAAAAAGCUCCAUGAUAUAAGCCCAAAGCCCUAACCAUAUGAUGCUAUGUCUUCUCUCCUUCACUCAUGAGACCUUUGUUGAAGGCCUACUCUGUGCUACACUCUGUUGUAUUUUCUGCUAUAAGUCAUGAUUUGCUGAGGAUGCCUCCACCCCACCCCUAGUUUCAGUAGUGGAAAUGGUCAAUAUGUAUGGGAGGUACAGAAACAGGAGGUCACUUACAUAGCAUCUAACUGCUAUUCCCCCAUUUCAUAAUUCUGUCACUUAUUUGUAACUCCCAGAGGCAGGGCAUACCACUUGGGACUUUGUUUAGAAAUAGUUUUCCUUCCUUCAGAAUCUGAGCUCUGAAUUUCUUUUAUCUCAAUUUUUGUCUUUACAGAGAAGUAAGAUGAGGAAAGAAGACAAGAACAAAAAGAGGAAAGGGAAACCCCAAGUUUCAGGUGAAGGGAUAUGGUGCUUUGCACUCAGUCUUCUAUUCAGUCAGUCACUAAACCCAAUGAGUACCCAGUGGUGCACACCGAGCAGACUCAGGAAUCAGCAGACACCAUGGAGGCAGAUUAGAGGCUGUAGAUGCUGUGUGUUAGAAUCGGAGAAAGCUGCAGGCAGGACUUCAUAAGAGACUGACCCCAUAAGAGGCAGAUUCUGAACUGGACCUUGAUGUGAUCAUGCUGGGGAGGAGGGCAACCAGACAGGGAAUCCAGACACACACUCCACUCCCAGGGGCUUGAAUUUAGGAGAUGGGGGGUAAAGUUCAUGCUCACACCACAGUUAGUUUAGUGUAAAAGAGUGCAUGUGCAUGCGUGUGUGUACUCCACUCUAUAGAAUAGGUGGUCAUUUCAGGGAAGAGGAUUGUGUUUGAUUACUUGGGGCCAGAAAUAGCAGAUGUCCCCUCCACUCCCCAGUGCUCUAGAAAUAAGAACAUUUUAUUACCUCACCACAUAAGUCCAGAGGUAGGAAAUCCUAAGGUUGCUCAAUGUAAUGACUUAAUGGCAUCAUGACCAGGUCCUUCCCAUCCCACUCCCUGUUUAGGCUGGGUCCCCUGUUGCUAAUAUUGUCCCCAUAGCUGCAGGAACCAGAGAGGAGAUAGGCAGCAUCUUGUCCUUUUAUCUUGUUUUAAGAGGAAGGACAACUGGCUCAAGGGACCUUCACCAGCACACCCCCUCUGAGUCUCACUAGCUAGUUUUUCAUCAUGGCCAGUCACUCUGGCAGCAAUGGAACUCAAAAGCACUGGAUAAACUAGUGCACAUUCAACCCCUGGGGCUGGGAUGGUUCAGGCUUCUUUGAAGCCUGGCCAUCAAUAUUGAACAAAGUGGCUUCUGGGAGAAAGGUGUGCAGGCAACUGGUGGCGGUAACCACCAAGAGAUGGUGAGCGCUGACCCUGCUCUGAAGGUGGGAACAGCUGUGAGGCCUGGGGGCUUCAGCUGAGCUCUCAAAGGGGCAUCAGAACUGAAUUCUUGCUCAUGCAGUUUGUCCCUGAUGCCAAAGCUCUUGCUACCAAAAUAGCAUGAUUUUACAACUCUCCAAUCAGCCUCCAUAGGUACUGCCUACAAACUUGCUGAACACAGCAAGCAGAAAGUUGGAAGCUGCAUGGAUAUCAUACAUCUAGUAUAACACAGAAUCCACAGUGGCCUUUGUGGGUUUUUUAAUUCUAAAAUUCUCAGAAUCAAGACUUUUGAAUAUAGAAAUCACUGAUUCUAGAUCAUGGGAUUAUGCCACCUUGUCAUAUUUAACUAGGUAGUUCAUAAUUCUAAAUCAUUCGAAAUCAGAAAAUAAAAGAAAUGAACUUCUUUGUAUUUGAACAUGUUAGAGAACCACACUUGCCUGAAACUGACGCCAUGUCGCCUCAGUAACCACACUGCUCAGUUUUCUUCAUACAUCCUUCUAUCCUGUACUUGAUGUUUCCUGUACACCUAAAGGACACCUUCAGACACACAGUGAGGAUUUGUGACACCAACACUGUUUAUCUGGAGUGCAUCAAAAUCAGUGAAGCAGCUGGGACAUGCCUGAGACAAGCAGAGCUGUUGCCAGUUGGCAUCAUUUCCUGGCAGUAGGACAAGACUCUCAGAAACUUAAAUGUUCCUCUUCUUCUCUAAAGCCACCCCAUACACACAGGCCUGAUUCUGAACUGCGUAAGCUUGGCAUAUCUCAGUCUUUUUGCUUUAUGUGUAGCUUUUUUCUGUAUAAAUUCAUUUCCUCAUAAGUGCAUUUCAUAAUAUACGUUUCACAUUUCCAGAUGUAUUUUUAACACUACUUGUUCUUCAAAACCCCAUUUUGCCAUGGGCUACUGUAUAAUGAGAUUUAAGAUUUUUUCCAGGACUGUUCUCUUUAUGCACACACAAUUCCAUCAGGGGUGGAAAAUGAUGACUAAAAGGAGAAAACUAACUGCUUUGUAAUACCAGACUGUACUUGAUCAAAUAAAAUGCAACCUUUGUUAUUUCUAA